This is a non-coding RNA of Lupinus albus (white lupine), 461 nucleotides long. The record is from the annotation of a GenBank genome assembly. Lineage: Eukaryota; Viridiplantae; Streptophyta; Magnoliopsida; Fabales; Fabaceae.
UUAGGUACUUAAGAUAUAUAUAUAAACCAUAAACAUUUGAAAACACGCUUCAGUAGGUGGCAUUUUCAAACGUAUAUCUCUAUUUAGGCUCUGUCUAGCUUUGUCAACAGCUGAAUCUCCAAGAAGACGCCCGUGGUCUCUGGAUGUGGUAUACUGGUACUUGUAAUUAAUUUACCAUUUAGAAGGAGAACUCUUUCAGCAAGAGAAGCCAUCUUCACACACAGGUAUAUAUGCAUUAUGAGAACCAAUACUUAACGGGAAGACGAGAUCGAAUCUGCAAUCUGGAGCUGCAAGGGAGAUAAAAGCCUUGGACCUGAUGGCUACAAUUUUGCUUUCAUCAAGAAAUUUUGGGAUUGUUUCAAGGAUGAUUUAUUCAAGAUGGUUGAUGACUAUAUGAAUGGUAAAAUUCUCCGGGGGAUGCAAUGCAUCCUUUGUUGUUCUAAUCCCUAAGAGUUAUUGUC